This 532-nucleotide ribosomal RNA is filed under the name uncultured archaeon. RNAcentral's name for it is "partial 16S rRNA". It matches the Rfam family "Archaeal small subunit ribosomal RNA", at positions 326 to 860 of the family's 1478-position model. The record is from RNAcentral.
CGUGGUGCACCAGGUGCGAAACCUCUGCAAUAGGCGAAAGCCUGUCAGGGUUACUUUGAGUGAUGUCCGUUAAGGAGAUCUUUUGGCACCUGUAAAAAUCGUGCCGAAUAAGGGGUGGGCAAGUCUGGUGUCAGCCGCCGCGGUAAUACUAGCACCCCGAGUGGUAGGGAUGUUUAUUGGGCCUAAAGCAUCCGUAGCCGGUUCUCCAAGUCCUCCGUUAAAUUCACAUGGUUAACAGAUGGUCUGUGGAAGAUACUAUAGAGCUAGGAGGUGGGAGAGGCAAGAGCUACUCGAUGUGUAGGGGUAAAAUCCGUUGAUCCAUUUAAGACCUCCAGUGGGGAAGGCGGCUUGCCAGAACGCGCUUGUCGGUGAGGGAUGAAAGAUGGGGGAGCAAACCGGAUUAGAUACCCGGGUAGUCCCAGCUGUUAACGAUGCAGACUCGGUGAUGAGUUGGUUUUAUGCCAACUCAGUGCCGCAGGGAAGCCGUUAAGUUUGCCGCCUCGGGAGUACGGUCGCAAGCCUGAAACUUAAA